RNAcentral lists this ribosomal RNA (680 nucleotides) under uncultured Gammaproteobacteria bacterium. RNAcentral describes it as "bacterial SSU rRNA". It matches the Rfam family "Bacterial small subunit ribosomal RNA", at positions 78 to 749 of the family's 1533-position model. Lineage: Bacteria; Pseudomonadati; Pseudomonadota; Gammaproteobacteria. The record is from RNAcentral.
GGGUGCGUUUGGUGCUGGCGAGUGGCGGACGGGUGAGUAACACGUAGGAAUCUGCCCAACAGUGGGGGACAACCCGAGGAAACUCGGGCUAAUACCGCAUACGCCCUACGGGGGAAAGCGGGGGACUUUCGGGCCUCGCGCUGAUGGAUGAGCCUGCGUCGGAUUAGCUUGUUGGUGAGGUAACGGCUCACCAAGGCGACGAUCCGUAGCUGGUCUGAGAGGAUGAUCAGCCACACUGGGACUGAGACACGGCCCAGACUCCUACGGGAGGCAGCAGUGGGGAAUAUUGCACAAUGGGCGAAAGCCUGAUGCAGCCAUACCGCGUGGGUGAAGAAGGCCUUAGGGUUGUAAAGCCCUUUCAGUUGGGAAGAAAAGGUCGGGGAUAAUACCCCCGGUUCUUGACGGUACUUACAGAAGAAGCACCGGCUAACUCAGUGCCAGCAGCCGCGGUAAUACUGAGGGUGCAAGCGUUAAUCGGAAUUACUGGGCGUAAAGCGCGCGUAGGCGGUCUGGUCAGCCAGAUGUGAAAGCCCCGGGCUUAACCUGGGAAUUGCGUUUGAAACUGCCAGGCUAGAGUGUGGUAGAGGGAAGUGGAAUUCCGCGUGGAGCGGUGAAAUGCGUAGAGAUGCGGGAGGAACACCAGUGGCGAAGGCGACUUCCUGGACCAACACUGACGCUCA